UUUGAAUGAAUGUUUCUCACUUAAAUCAUCGCCAACAAAUUGCUUCACAAUCACCGAAACAAACAGUAACCUAUCCUCCCAUUAACACGUGAAGAAUGUGACACCCUGAAAUAAACACACUGUUAGGUUUGAUUGUAAAGAAUACAUUACAAUAACUUUUUUGAAGAGUUUACCAAAACUAUACUUUUAUUCUUUUUUUUUUUAAUAAUUUAAAUCCAAUCUAGA
Molecule: long non-coding RNA, 225 nt
Filed under: Vigna radiata
Lineage: Eukaryota; Viridiplantae; Streptophyta; Magnoliopsida; Fabales; Fabaceae
Description: long non-coding RNA (VRAD_LNC009124)
Source: RNAcentral